UUCCACCUCUUCCCAUUCCGAACAGAGAAGUUAAGACCGAUAGCGCCGAUGGUACUGCAUGUGUGGGAGAGUAGGUAGCUGCCUUUU
This 87-nucleotide ribosomal RNA is filed under the name Dysgonamonadaceae bacterium. The record is from RNAcentral. Lineage: Bacteria; Pseudomonadati; Bacteroidota; Bacteroidia; Bacteroidales; Dysgonomonadaceae.